This 262-nucleotide ribosomal RNA is filed under the name uncultured bacterium. RNAcentral's name for it is "partial 16S ribosomal RNA". It matches the Rfam family "Bacterial small subunit ribosomal RNA", at positions 793 to 1055 of the family's 1533-position model. The record is from RNAcentral.
GUCCACGCCGUAAACGUUGGGCACUAGGUGUGGGUUCCAACCAACGGAAUCCGUGCCGUCGCUAACGCAUUAAGUGCCCCGCCUGGGGAGUACGGCCGCAAGGCUAAAACUCAAAGGAAUUGACGGGGCCCCGCACAAGCAGCGGAGCGUGUUGCUUAAUUCGAUGCGACGCGAAGAACCUUACCUGGGCUUGACAUGCAGGGAAAAGCCGUAGAGAUACGGUGUCCUUCGGGGCCUUGCACAGGUGGUGCAUGGCUGUCGU